GAGUUUGAUCCUGGCUCAGAUUGAACGCUGGCGGCAUGCUUUACACAUGCAAGUCGAACGGUAACAGGCCGCAAGGUGCUGACGAGUGGCGAACGGGUGAGUAAUGCAUCGGAACGUGCCCAGUCGUGGGGGAUAACGCAGCGAAAGCUGUGCUAAUACCGCAUACGAUCUAUGGAUGAAAGCGGGGGACCGUAAGGCCUCGCGCGAUUGGAGCGGCCGAUGUCAGAUUAGGUAGUUGGUGGGGUAAAGGCUCACCAAGCCGACGAUCUGUAGCUGGUCUGAGAGGACGACCAGCCACACUGGGACUGAGACACGGCCCAGACUCCUACGGGAGGCAGCAGUGGGGAAUUUUGGACAAUGGGCGCAAGCCUGAUCCAGCAAUGCCGCGUGCAGGAAGAAGGCCUUCGGGUUGUAAACUGCUUUUGUACGGAACGAAACGGUCCGGGUUAAUACCCUGGGCUAAUGACGGUACCGUAAGAAUAAGCACCGGCUAACUACGUGCCAGCAGCCGCGGUAAUACGUAGGGUGCAAGCGUUAAUCGGAAUUACUGGGCGUAAAGCGUGCGCAGGCGGUUUUGUAAGACAGGCGUGAAAUCCCCGGGCUCAACCUGGGAAUU
RNAcentral lists this ribosomal RNA (616 nucleotides) under uncultured organism. RNAcentral's name for it is "bacterial SSU rRNA". It matches the Rfam family "Bacterial small subunit ribosomal RNA", at positions 9 to 622 of the family's 1533-position model. The record is from RNAcentral.